Molecule: ribosomal RNA, 490 nt
Filed under: uncultured bacterium
Lineage: Bacteria
Description: partial 16S ribosomal RNA
Rfam family: Bacterial small subunit ribosomal RNA
Source: RNAcentral
AUUGAACGCUGGCGGCAGGCCUAACACAUGCAAGUCGAACGGUAACAGGAAGCAGCUUGCUGCUUCGCUGACGAGUGGCGGACGGGUGAGUAAUGUCUGGGAAACUGCCUGAUGGAGGGGGAUAGCUACUGGAAACGGUAGCUAAUACCGCAUAACGUCGCAAGACCAAAGAGGGGGACCUUAGGGCCUCUUGCCAUCGGAUGUGCCCAGAUGGGAUUAGCUAGUAGGUGGGGUAACGGCUCACCUAGGCGACGAUCCCUAGCUGGUCUGAGAGGAUGACCAGCCACACUGGAACUGAGACACGGUCCAGACUCCUACGGGAGGCAGCAGUGGGGAAUAUUGCACAAUGGGCGCAAGCCUGAUGCAGCCAUGCCGCGUGUAUGAAGAAGGCCUUCGGGUUGUAAAGUACUUUCAGCGGGGAGGAAGGGAGUAAAGUUAAUACCUUUGCUCAUUGACGUUACCCGCAGAAGAAGCACCGGCUAACUCCGUG